GGUCCCAUCGUCUAGUGGCCUAGGACUCCGGCCUCUCACGCCGGCAACACGGGUUCGAGUCCCGUUGGGAUCACCA
This 76-nucleotide transfer RNA is filed under the name Nitrospira sp. Its description in RNAcentral is "tRNA-Glu". It matches the Rfam family "tRNA". Rfam says of the family: Transfer RNA (tRNA) molecules are approximately 80 nucleotides in length. Their secondary structure includes four short double-helical elements and three loops (D, anti-codon, and T loops). Further hydrogen bonds mediate the characteristic L-shaped molecular structure. tRNAs have two regions of fundamental functional importance: the anti-codon, which is responsible for specific mRNA codon recognition, and the 3' end, to which the tRNAs corresponding amino acid is attached (by aminoacyl-tRNA synthetases). tRNAs cope with the degeneracy of the genetic code in two manners: having more than one tRNA (with a specific anti-codon) for a particular amino acid; and 'wobble' base-pairing, i.e. permitting non-standard base-pairing at the 3rd anti-codon position. The record is from RNAcentral. Lineage: Bacteria; Pseudomonadati; Nitrospirota; Nitrospiria; Nitrospirales; Nitrospiraceae.